GUCUGGUGUGGGACUAGAGGAGGCGUUAGUCUGGUGUGGGACUAGAGGAGGUGUUACAGUCUGGUGUGGGACUAGAGGAGGCGUUAGUCUGGUGUGGGACUAGAGGAGGCGUUAGUCUGGUGUGGGACUAGAGGAGGUGUUAGUCUGGUGUGGGACUAGAGGAGGCGUUAGUCUGGUGUGGGACUAGAGGAGGCGUUAGUCUGGUGUGGGACUAGAGGAGGUGUUACAGUCUGGUGUGGGACUAGAGGAGGCGUUAGUCUGGUGUGGGACUAGAGGAGGUGUUAGUCUGGUGUGGGACUAGA
Long non-coding RNA from Salvelinus fontinalis (brook trout), 302 nucleotides. RefSeq lists it as uncharacterized. The transcript has 3 exons. The record is from RefSeq and is a predicted model, not a curated record. NCBI's taxonomy places the organism in Eukaryota, Metazoa, Chordata, Actinopteri, Salmoniformes, Salmonidae.